UAUACACUAAGUUCAUUUUCUGUAUUUUAGAUAUGGUAGCCCAGUUCGGGGUGGAAACCGUUGUUCUGUUUAAUAAGAGGACCGUUGUGUAUCAUCUAUGAUUGGCGGCUAUGCAGGAAUUCACCAGGUUCAUAAAACAGAACCCUCUGUUGCAUUAUACCCAGUUCUGAAAUUACUAUGGACCCCUAAAGUACUUCAUCUUUUGAUGAUAUUUAUUUAUGUAUUUUACAUAUUAUGCAAAGACCCCAGAUGGUCACUGUUCCACUUGUAUUCCAGUGGCCAUGGAGAACAGGUGAAGGUAAUUUUUACUUGACUUAAAAUGUCCUUUGUAUGCAUCUUCUUUCUCAAGGGCCUCUUCAACUCCUGGGGCUUCAUCUGCCAGGAGCCAACGGAAGUGCUCUGCUCACAGGCAUGCAUAAGGGUAUCUCAGGUAGCUCUGCCUUGUGUCAAGAGUAGGAAAGAUACUUCGGAUAAAGUUGUCCCUAUUUUGUCUUAAUUUGUGGGUGUCACAGAGAUGCUUUAAGUCAAAAUUAAAAGCGCUCUAUCAUUCUUUCUACUCCUCCAAUCCUCAACAUGGAAAUUGUAGUUUCUAAUAAUAUAAAAUAUGUAGAUUGUAAUAUGCUUUCCGGUUACGAUUUGGUGAGUUUAAACUAUAUUUUUAUUUUUUACAGCACCAGAGGGAAUGAGCAAACAGCUUUGAGGAGUCUCUGCAUAAGAGACUAUUGGUUACUGAAGGGCUGUAUUGUAAAGGAAGAUCUCAUCGCAGUGAAAAAUUGCGGGAACAUCUAAAAUCACAUGGAUUUUGGGGAUGCGCGAUGACGUAGCACGUCUGCACGCCAUACCCGCGUUCUGAGGUAGGGGCGGACAGAUACCGCGGCGGGGAUGAAACGAUGACGAGCAAGGCUGAAUCCACACUGACUCGAAGGACGCCAAUGGUCUUGGAAGGAGCAUAGCGAGUUCGGACUGCAGCUGACUAGGAAGCGAGUUCGGACUGCAGCUGACUAGGAACAGGAACUGGAACUCCACCCACCCCCAACCCAUUCCCCUUAAUGUUCCUCUCCCAUAUCUUUUAGUGCCCCCCCUACCCCAGUGUUCAUUUCCCCUUCCCUUCCCUGUACCUUAGUGCUCUCCCUAAAUGUUUCUCUCUCUCUCCCCCUUAGUGUUCUUUCCCUUCCCCAUAGUGUUCUUCCCCCCUCCCCAUAGUGGUGUUCUUCUUUUGAAAUAUGAAAGCAAUUAUGAAUAUUUGAAACAGAAAAUAGAAUUUUUCUUCUUAGACAACAAUCUACAGGACACUUCGCCAAUUAAUAAUUGGUGUGCUUCCAAGGCCAUUAUGCGUGGACAUCUUAUUAUAUCAACUGUUUGCGCAUGCGCCCAGGGCGCACAGCGAUAGGAGGACGGCAUUUGUACCAUCAAUGGGCGUGACAUCAGCCCUAUGCUUGCUGCCACCCACGUAGAUGUACUUUAUGUGAAUGGAGACUGUGGUCACAUGCUCCGCGCGAGCAAACCCUGAUUGGUCCGUAUUGCGCAUGUGCAUAGCGAUUGAUAGGACGCGGGGUGCACAUCAGCUGUGGUGAGUCUUACUAUUUUAUUUAUGAUAUAUAAGCUGAAUUAUUUGUCAUGUAUUUUUAUUUUUUUUUUGUUAUUUCUGAUCCUGAAGAAAGCCCAGAUUGGGGCUGAAACGUCGAUCAAUUCUUUUUAAUGCAUAUUGAAUAAAACAGUUUGCAAUUUUUAUUUAGAAGACCAAAGAGUGCAGCCUUCAUCUUUGUUUGUUUUUUAUAUCUACAUUUGCCAGUUGGCUUAUG
Molecule: non-coding RNA, 1802 nt
Organism: Pelobates cultripes (western spadefoot toad)
Lineage: Eukaryota; Metazoa; Chordata; Amphibia; Anura; Pelobatidae
Source: the annotation of a GenBank genome assembly